GAAGCAGGCCGCCUUAUCGUUCCGACAUUAUUUCGGAGAGGAAAGUCCGGACACCGUAGAGCAGCAUAGUGGGUAACGCCCAUCGGUCGUGAGAUCAGGACAAGUGCAACAGAAAGAAUGUACAGGUUAAGCUGUAGUGAAACCAGGUAAACUCUAUGCGGUGCAAUGCCAUGUAUACCGGUAUCUAAGGAUCGCUCGUCCGUUGCCGGAGGGUAGGCAGCUAAAAAUUAGCGGUAACGCUAAUUUCAGAUAAAUGAUAAGGAGUCCGAUCAAUUAUCGGAUGACAGAAUCCGGCUUACAGGCCUGCUUUUUUA
Molecule: RNase P RNA, 314 nt
Filed under: Gramella sp. MAR_2010_147
Lineage: Bacteria; Pseudomonadati; Bacteroidota; Flavobacteriia; Flavobacteriales; Flavobacteriaceae
Description: Bacterial RNase P class A
Rfam family: Bacterial RNase P class A
About the family: Ribonuclease P (RNase P) is a ubiquitous endoribonuclease, found in archaea, bacteria and eukarya as well as chloroplasts and mitochondria. Its best characterised activity is the generation of mature 5'-ends of tRNAs by cleaving the 5'-leader elements of precursor-tRNAs. Cellular RNase Ps are ribonucleoproteins.
Source: RNAcentral